Molecule: ribosomal RNA, 204 nt
Filed under: uncultured bacterium
Lineage: Bacteria
Description: partial 16S ribosomal RNA
Rfam family: Bacterial small subunit ribosomal RNA
Source: RNAcentral
ACGCUCGACACCUACGGGAGGGCAGCAGUGGGGAAUAUUGGGCAAUGGGCGAAAGCCUGACCCAGCAACGCCGCGUGAGGGAAGAAGGUUUUCGGAUUGUAAACCUCUGUCCUCAGGGACGAAGGACGUGACGGUACCUGAGGAGGAAGCCCCGGCUAACUACGUGCCAGUAGCCGCCGGUAAUCUGAGCGGGCGUGGCAAGGC